Molecule: long non-coding RNA, 1859 nt
Filed under: Sus scrofa (pig)
Lineage: Eukaryota; Metazoa; Chordata; Mammalia; Artiodactyla; Suidae
Description: lncRNA (ENSSSCG00015012426.1)
Source: RNAcentral
GCCCGUUCUUCAUCACUCUGGGCCUCAGUUUCCACAUCUAGCAAGUGGGAAUAAUAGUGUGAUCCAGGAGUUCCCAUUGUGGCUCAGCGGACACAAAACCGACUAGUAUCCCUGACCUCGCACAGUGGGUUAAGGAUCCAGCAUUGCCGUGAGCUGUGGUGUAGGUCACAGAUGCCGCUCGGAUCUGGAGUGGCUAUGGCUGUGGUAUAAGCCAGUGGCUACAGCUCUGAUUCAGCCCCUAGCCUUGGGACCUCCCUAUGCUGCAGGUACAGCCCUAAAAAGCAAAAAUUAUGAUAAUAAUGUGAUCCAGAAUCUUCAUCUCAGGAAUAGUGUGAACGGCAAAUGCGAAUUACCUAGGUUUUACAGCUCUCUGUGUAUGUGGUGCUUUUUAACUGGACCUUGUUGGGCUACAGCCACCCGACGGUGACCCUUAAAGGACCCCGCAGACCCUCAUCUGCGUUCCAAUGGCAAGUCAGUCUUCAAGAUGAAAAACAUCUUUUAUUUAUUAGUCGAUUGUGUGGAUGGAAAUUUGGUUAGAAAUUGAAUUCCUGAUCUGCGUCCAGUCUUUCCUAAUGAUCCAUAUAAGGCAAGGGAAGUACUCCCUCACAGGAUCAGUUUACAAAUCUUAAGAAACCAAUAACUCCACGGUUCAUCUAACAAACAAGCCUGUUCCUGACUCAGCCUGCUCAGGUCAGCCUGCUCUUUGGGACUGCAGGGAGCUCCCUAAACAGAUACAAGAAUUCUGAUUUCAUCACCAAAAUGUCUUUUCUGAAAGGCAGUGCUGAGCCCCAACACGCAGGCUGGCUUGGACACAAUCCUUAGGGGUCAAGGCUGCUUGCAGAGAUUGCCUCCCUAGAAUGCAUAUGAGAUUUUCCCAAUGACCCCCCCACCCCCGCUUGCUGGCCAGGCCUGAUGUUUCUUUGACGAACACAAGGUUUUUCACUGAUGGAUGGAGAGACAGCCUAGAUGAGCACACGUACCUCAAGACACAGUUUACACUCCUCCCAGGCUGUCCGCUAUCAGCAUCUGGAAGAGAGCAGAGGACCCAGAAAGGGAAACUCGGGGACAAGGACAAGGCUGACCUUCUUUAGAACUUGGUCAAGCAUCAGUGCCGAACCCCAGGAACCGAAGCACAUUUUGGCCACAUCCUCCCCUCCACACAGAGCGCCUUCUGUCAUCACCUGCUUCUGUGCCUUCUGUCAUGAGCUCAAAGAGACUCAAAGAACAUCUGCAAGGAAAUACAUGCCCUGAUUUUCCCUUUGCCGUGAAGCCGUGGACACCAGGUUCUCAGUAUGCUGGGCUGGGUGGAGCCACCAACUAUGUAGGUACAUUGAACUUUGAGCCAACCCCCUGUCCUCUCCUGGCCUCAGGUUCCUCAUCGGUAAAAUGAGGAAGUUUCUGAGUUCUUUUCUAGUUCUUUUUUUUGGAAAUUAUUCAGUGGAGGCAAGACUAUACAGUGGAGAAAAGACAGCCUGUUCAAUAAGUGGUGCUGGGAAAACUGGACAGCCACAUGUAAAGGGAUGAAAUUAGAACACUCCCUAACACCAUCCACAAAAGUAAACUCAAAAUGGUGGAUUAAAGACCUAGAUAUAAGACCAGAUACUAUAAAACACUUAGAGGAAAACAGGCCAAACACUCUCCGACAUAAAUGACAGCAACAUCUGCUCGGAUCCACCUCUUAGAGUAAUGACAGUAAAAACAAAAAUCAACAAAUCGGACUUAAUUAAACUUAAAAGUUUCUGCACAGCAAAGGAAACCCUAAACAAAACAAAAAGACAACCCACAGAAUGGGAGAGAAUCUUUGCAAAUGAAUCGACUGACAAGGGAUUAAUCUCUAAAAUUUAUAAACACCUCCUACC